RNAcentral lists this long non-coding RNA (2246 nucleotides) under Anas platyrhynchos platyrhynchos (common mallard). RNAcentral's name for it is "lncRNA (ENSAPLG00000020495.1)". Lineage: Eukaryota; Metazoa; Chordata; Aves; Anseriformes; Anatidae. The record is from RNAcentral.
GGCCUGGUUUGCCAAGGAUCUGAGAGAAACUUUGCACUGAUGCUCAGCACUGGGGUCCCCGAAGGUCUGCAUCACCACGGCUGAGCCCUGAACACACCAGAGGCCUGCUACAAAGCAUGUCGAUCCUGUAAUGUCUGCUGGCAAGAGCAGAGAUGUGCUGGGAGGAGAGACAAGUUACUGCACGGAGCUGCCCUGGUGUCUUGUGGAAUUAAAUAGGCAAUAAAUCAGGUCUGACAGAAAAAAAAUAAAUGAUUUUUUAAAAUUGCAUCAUGCUCAUUACAAGCAUGCACUUCAGUUUACCAAAUCACACAGCGCUCUCAGUGCUGUUAUGUGGGUUGUUCAUCUACAUACUUCCUUGUUACAACUCAUCUUAGGCAACAGAUAACCUGAUACUAUCAUAACAUGUGGGUAAGGCAAUCAAAAUAGCAUUCAUCUGUAUCAAAUGUGACUGGCGAGAGCAGGAACCCUGCCAAGCAGCAGCCCCGCAUCACCCAGCAUGAAGCUGUGAGUUUAUGGCUAAGGAGCUCGGCAGUGGUUAAUCCUGUUGUCAUCUGAAUUAAUUUUUAAAGGAGGUGUGUGUGGGGGGAACCCGGCAGCUGCAUAAUAAGCUUAAAAUCUUGAGAUGGGGAGAAAUGUGUGUAUUUCACGUGUGCCUGUUUGGGGGCAGCGCCGUGAAUGCCCUUUUGCUGUAGGAGGAUUGUUUUCCUGGAGGAGACGGGUGGCAAUUCUGCUUGCUCCAGCCACAAGCUGAGCCUGUGUGUGCUGAAAGCCUGAGAUGUAAAUCAAGGCUCCUCUAAUAUAAGCACUGGCCAGUACUCAGGGAGUGAUUUUGGUCGGCACCCCUCCUUCUGGGGCAGAUCUUGCUCGAGUCAGAGCUACCCAAAGGCAGCCUUGGCAGACGCAUUGCAGACUGGGGCUGCCCGAUAGCAUCUGGCACUUCUGGCAGGAUAUUCUGGGAAUUAUCUCCGGCCUCUGCAAGCGCUGUGCUCAGCCAAGCGUGAGGAGCUUUGGCUCCCGGUGCACAUACUUGCAGCAGGGACAUCGGCAUCUGGCUGAACCUGAAAGCUCAUCAUCCUCGCUGGAGGAAGGAGCUCUCCCCCAGGACCUGGGUUUCAGGAUGGAGCAGCAGCUACACCCUGCGAGAACGUCACUUGGCUGCUGCCAGAGCAAAAGCGAAGGGGUUCAGCCAUCUCGCCACCGAGACACUGCAAUUACUGAGCUACUGUAAAACAAGAUCUGCCAAGGAUAUUACAGCUGCUUUUCCCUCGUAAAGUCAAGGGUGAAGAAGCUGCGGGAACAUGGCUUGUGGCCAGGAGCCUGAUAAAGAUGCAAGGAAAAGCGACCAUUCCCAGGGGAAUUAACCUCCGUGGCCACUUGCUGCAGCUCUGCUUGUCUGAAUCAUAGAUGCUGCUGCAGCAUUCGUGCUGCACGACUGCAGAAGCUGCUCUUCCUCAUGGCCUGGAUCACUGGGAGGGGGUUAUUGCUUAUCUAAGAUGGUCUGUUCAAAGCAGAGCAGCAGUUGGUAUAUGGAAAAAAUUGCUGCUGCUGACUGGGGACCUUUGAUUAAGAUUUUAACACCUGCUAAGGAACCUGUCUUCAUGCCCAACAGGACAGAGCAGCCAGAGCUGGUGGGGAGCUUGCAGGAAGGAGAUGAGCUCUCCUGCCCUCCCCAAAGGCUGUUGUGUUUGUGCCUUUGUGUCUAACACUUCUUCGGGAUGGAGCACGGCGAUGAAGUGCUCUGUGCUCUCAGCCUUGGGAGGGGGCUUGGUAAAAGACAGGACAGGAUUUGGGGCCUGGCAGAGCUCCGCUGCUCUCCCAGGGUCCGUGUGUGGCCGGCAGGAAGCAGUGUAAUUGGCCAAGUAUGCACAAGACAAGUGCAGCACUUGGGGUGGCGAGCGACUUGAAGGGCAAAAUGUCCAAAAAAGCAGAGCUUUUGGACACUGAGCUCCAGCCUCUGCCAGUACAGCCUUGGCUGCUUCCAGGGCCACUUUACCCAAGCAGCGCUGGCUUUCUGCUUGGAGGGCAGAGAGAACAGGUUGUGAUAUAAAAUAUUUACUUAUUGCAAUUUAUUAUUUAUUGAGUCGAACCUAUUGCAACUCUCUAAGUGGAAGCAAAAGUAUCCCAUGUCUUAUCUUCUGCCAAAGACUUUCUUGCCAUGUCUGUGAUCCACUUGUAUUUAGAUCAAUCUUUGACUAUGCACUAAUGUUCAUUUCAAAUAAGAAUAAAUCAUGUUUUACAAGGCUUCA